RNAcentral lists this ribosomal RNA (477 nucleotides) under uncultured bacterium. RNAcentral describes it as "partial 16S ribosomal RNA". It matches the Rfam family "Bacterial small subunit ribosomal RNA", at positions 28 to 507 of the family's 1533-position model. The record is from RNAcentral.
GAUUAACGCUGGCGGCGUGCAUAACACAUGCAAGUCGAACGAUGAAACUUAAAUGAUUUCUUCGGAAUGAACUUAAGUGGAUUAGUGGCGGACGGGUGAGUAACGCGUGAGUAACCUGCCUUACACAGGGGGAUAGCCGUUGGAAACGACGAAUAAUACCCUAUGAAACUAUCACUUCGCAUGAAGCGAUAGUCAAAGUGUUAGCGGUGUAAGAUGGACUUGCGUCUGAUUAGCUAGUUGGUGAGAAAAAAGCCCACCAAGGCAACGAUCAGUAGCCGGCUUGAGAGAGUGUACGGCCACAUUGGGACUGAGACACGGCCCAGACUCCUACGGGAGGCAGCAGUGGGGAAUUUUGCACAAUGGGGGAAACCCUGAUGCAGCGACGCCGCGUGAUUUAGAAGGCCUUCGGGUUGUAAAAAUCUUUUGUAUAGGAAGAAAAUGACAGUACUAUACGAAUAAGGGCCGGCUAAUUACGUG